This 206-nucleotide ribosomal RNA is filed under the name uncultured bacterium. Its description in RNAcentral is "partial 16S ribosomal RNA". It matches the Rfam family "Bacterial small subunit ribosomal RNA", at positions 524 to 729 of the family's 1533-position model. The record is from RNAcentral.
UACAGAGGGUGCGAGCGUUGUUCGGAAUUAUUGGGCGUAAAGCGCUUGUAGGCGGCUUGUUAAGUUCCGUGUGAAAUCCCCAGGCUUAACCCUGGGAAGUGCGCGGAAAAACUGGCGAGCUUGAGUGCCGGAGAGGGUCGCGGAAUUCCGGUGUAGAGGUGAAAUUCGUAGAUAUUAGGAAGAACACCAGUGGCGAAGGGCGGACC